Molecule: ribosomal RNA, 700 nt
Filed under: uncultured Scutellospora
Lineage: Eukaryota; Fungi; Glomeromycota; Glomeromycetes; Diversisporales; Gigasporaceae
Description: eukaryotic LSU rRNA
Rfam family: Eukaryotic large subunit ribosomal RNA
Source: RNAcentral
GCAUAUCAAUAAGCGGAGGAAAAGAAACUAACAAGGAUUCCCCUAGUAACGGCGAGUGAAGCGGGAAGAGCACAAAUUUUAAAUCUACCUGGUUUUCUAGGUCGAGUUGUAAUUUGAAGAAACGUUUUUUACGUUCCGGGUUGGAUUAAAUCCUUUGGGAUAAGGUAUCAUGGAGGGUGAGAAUCCCGUGUAUACCAACCACUGGAAUGUUAUUAAUACGAUUUCUAAGAGUCGAGUUGUUUGGGAAUGCAGCUCUAAAUGGGUGGUAAAUUUCACCUAAUGCUAAAUAUAAGCGAGAGACCGAUAGUGAACAAGUACCGUGAGGGAAAGAUGAAAAGAACUUUGAAAAGAGAGUUAAAUAGUACGUGAAAUUGUUGAAAGGGAAACGGUUGAAGUCAGUCAUGCCGGCGGGAAUCAACUUAGGGGAAACUCUAGGUGCACUUCUUCGCUUGGCAGGUUAGCGUCGAUUUUGGAUGUCAUAAAAUGACUGGGGGAAGGUAGCUCCUUCGGGAGUGUUAAGCCCUUAGUAGAUGUGAUGUUCGGGAUCGAGGAUUGCAACGGAUACCCUUUGGGCUAGUCACCUGGUCUCUAAUACGAAGUUGGGUUAUGGAUAGCAUGCUAAUCAUGAUCUGAUUUUCGGUUAAAAGAUUAGAGUGAGUGUAAAUUCGUUAAGGACGCUGACGUAAUGGCUUUAAACGAC